CGGGGCGUGGCGCAGUUGGUAGCGUGCUUGUUUUGGGAACAAGAAGUCGCAGGUUCGAGUCCUGUCGCCCCGA
RNAcentral lists this transfer RNA (73 nucleotides) under Armatimonadota bacterium. Its description in RNAcentral is "Armatimonadetes bacterium tRNA-Pro". It matches the Rfam family "tRNA". Rfam says of the family: Transfer RNA (tRNA) molecules are approximately 80 nucleotides in length. The record is from RNAcentral. Lineage: Bacteria; Bacillati; Armatimonadota.